GACGAACGCUGGCGGCGUGCUUAACACAUGCAAGUCGAACGGUGAAGCUCCAGCUUGCUGGGGUGGAUCAGUGGCGAACGGGUGAGUAACACGUGAGCAACCUGCCCCUGACUCUGGAAUAAGCGCUGGAAACGGCGUCUAAUACUGGAUACGCGAUGGGUCUGCAUGGGCACUUUCUGGAAAGUGUUUCGGUUGGGGAUGGGCUCGCGGCCUCUCAGCUUGUUGGUGAGGUAGUGGCUGACCAAGGCGACGACGGGUAGCCGGCCUGAGAGGGCGACCGGCCAGAUUGGGACUGAGAUACGGCCCAGAGUACUACGGGAGGCAGCAGUGGGGAAGAUUGCACAAUGGGCGAAAGCCGGAUGCAGCGACGUCGCGUGAGGGAUGACGGGCAUCGGUUUGUAAACCGCUUUCGGCAGGGAAGAAGCGAAAGUGACGGUACUUGCAGAAGAAGCACCGGCUAACUACGUG
RNAcentral lists this ribosomal RNA (468 nucleotides) under uncultured bacterium. Its description in RNAcentral is "partial 16S ribosomal RNA". It matches the Rfam family "Bacterial small subunit ribosomal RNA", at positions 28 to 507 of the family's 1533-position model. The record is from RNAcentral.